CACUUUGUUCUCUAAUUCUCACCUCGUGGUCUAGUAUUUUCUCAUCUUUCUUUUUCUUAGCUUCAUCAUUUUCCAUAAUUAUAUCUUAUAUAUCACUUAUUCUCUCCUAUGCUUCCUCCAUUCUUGACAUCACUGCAUCUAGUUUAUUUUGCACAUCAUUUACAAGAUU
Molecule: long non-coding RNA, 169 nt
Organism: Herpailurus yagouaroundi (jaguarundi)
Lineage: Eukaryota; Metazoa; Chordata; Mammalia; Carnivora; Felidae
Exons: 3
Source: RefSeq, a predicted model, not a curated record